UGGGGAAUUUUGGACAAUGGGCGCAAGCCUGAUCCAGCAAUGCCGCGUGUGUGAAGAAGGCCUUCGGGUUGUAAAGCACUUUUGUCCGGAAAGAAAUCCGUCUGGCUAAUACCCGGACGGGAUGACGGUACCGGAAGAAUAAGCACCGGCUAACUACGUGCCAGCAGCCGCGGUAAUACGUAGGGUGCGAGCGUUAAUCGGAAUUACUGAGCGUAAAGCGUGCGCAGGCGGUUUUGUAAGACAGAGGUGAAAUCCCCGGACUCAACCUGGGAACUGCCUUUGUGACUGCAAAGCUGGAGUGCGGCAGAGGGUGAUGGAAUUCCGCGUGUAGCAGUGAAAUGCGUAGAUAUGCGGAGGAACACCGAUGGCGAAGGCAAUCCCCUGGGCCUGCACUGACGCUCAUGCACGAAAGCGUGGGGAGCAAACA
This 427-nucleotide ribosomal RNA is filed under the name uncultured bacterium. RNAcentral's name for it is "bacterial SSU rRNA". It matches the Rfam family "Bacterial small subunit ribosomal RNA", at positions 355 to 774 of the family's 1533-position model. The record is from RNAcentral.